UACACAGGUCUCAAGCGUUGUUCGGAUUCAUUGGGCGUAAAGGGUGCGUAGGCGGCGCGGUAAGUCGGGUGUGAAAUCUCGGAGCUUAACUCCGAAACUGCAUUCGAUACUGCCGUGCUUGAGGACUGGAGAGGAGACUGGAAUUUACGGUGUAGCGGUGAAAUGCGUAGAUAUCGUAAGGAAGACCAGUGGUGAAGGCGGGUCUCUGGACAGUUCCUGACGCUGAGGCACGAAGGUCAGGGGAGCAAACGGG
Molecule: ribosomal RNA, 253 nt
Filed under: uncultured bacterium
Lineage: Bacteria
Description: partial 16S ribosomal RNA
Rfam family: Bacterial small subunit ribosomal RNA
Source: RNAcentral